UACGUAGGGUGCGAGCGUUAAUCGGAAUUACUGGGCGUAAAGCGUGCGCAGGCGGUCCGCAAAGUCUGAUGUGAAAGCCCCGGGCUCAACCUGGGAAUGGCAAUGGAAACUGGCGGGCUGGAGUAUGGCAGAGGGGGGUGGAAUUCCGCGUGUAGCAGUGAAAUGCGUAGAGAUGCGGAGGAACACCGAUGGCGAAGGCAGCCCCCUGGGCCAAUACUGACGCUCAGGCACGAAAGCGUGGGGAGCAAACAGG
This 253-nucleotide ribosomal RNA is filed under the name uncultured bacterium. RNAcentral's name for it is "partial 16S ribosomal RNA". It matches the Rfam family "Bacterial small subunit ribosomal RNA", at positions 524 to 776 of the family's 1533-position model. The record is from RNAcentral.